UAUAAAAAAAAUUAUUUUUUAUUAAAAUUUAUUUGAAAUUAAUUAAAAUAUUUUAAAUUUUAUUAUUUUUAAGAAAAAUUUAUUUUUAUUAUAGAGUAUUAGUACUGAGAAGGAAUUUAUUAAAAUUUUUAAAAGAAAAAUUUUUUUGUACCUUGUGCAUCAGGGUUUAUUAAAUAAAUAACAAAUUUUUGUUAUUCUCGAAUUUAAAAGAGCUAAAUUAAUAUAAAUUUUAUUGUGUCAUAAAUAUUUAGAAUAUUAAUUUAGUAAUGAAAUGUUAAUCGUUUUUAAAUAUAUCUAGUUUUUUAAGAAAAAAAUUAAAUUUUUUGGUUAAAUUUAAAAUUUUUAUAUAAAAAUUUUUUUAAUUUAGUUGAAAAUAAAUUAGGGGAUAAGCUUUAAUUUAUAAUGUUAUAAUUUAAGUAAAAAUUAAUAAUUUAUAGGAUUAAAAAUUUCUAUUAAUAAAAAUAUAUUAAAAUUUAUUAUUAUUAAAAUAAUAUUUUUAUUUAAUUUAGCUUUUUUAUUAAAAUAAGGAGUUUAAUUAUAUAACUCUUGAAAUAAUGAUAAAAUUAGUAUUAUGGAUAUAUAUAUAUAUAAAUAUAUAUAUAUAUAUAUAUAUAUGGAAGGAAAGGUUAAAUAAAGUAAUUCGGCAAAUAUAUUUUUCACCUGUUUAUUAAAAACAUCUCUUUUUGAAAAUAAUUUAAAGUAGGGCCUGCCCACUGAAGUAUUAAAGGGCCGCAGUAUUUUGACUGUGCAAAGGUAGCAUAAUCAUUAGUUUUUUAAUUGAAAGCUUGUAUGAAUGGUUUGAUGAGAAAAUAACUUUCUAUAUUUAAAUUUUUAAAAAUUUUAUUUUUAAGUUAAAAAGCUUAAAUUUUUUUAAUAGACGAGAAGACCCUAUAGAGUUUUAUUAUAUUAAUUUUUUAAAUUUUUAGAAUUUAAAAAUUUUAAUUUUUAAUAUAAUUUGGUUGGGGUGACUGAAAAAUUAAAUAAACUUUUUUUAUAUUAUUACAUAGAUUUAUGAAUAUUUGAUCCAUAAAAAUGAUUAAAAGAAUAAAUUACCUUAGGGAUAACAGCGUUAUUUUUUUUUAGAGUUCAAAUCGAAAAAAGAGAUUGCGACCUCGAUGUUGGAUUAAAGUAAAUUUUAGGUGUAGGAGCUUAAAAAUUUGGUCUGUUCGACCAUUAAAACUUUACAUGAUCUGAGUUUAAACCGGUGUGAGCCAGGUUGGUUUCUAUCUUUAUAUAGUUAAUAAAUUUUAGUACGAAAGGACCAAAUUUAUAAUUAAAAAUUUAUGUUUUGAAUAAAAAU
This 1300-nucleotide ribosomal RNA is filed under the name Coccinella septempunctata (seven-spotted ladybird). RNAcentral describes it as "large subunit ribosomal RNA". The stretch from base 1060 to 1218 matches the Rfam family "Archaeal large subunit ribosomal RNA", at positions 2542 to 2701 of the family's 2987-position model. Lineage: Eukaryota; Metazoa; Arthropoda; Insecta; Coleoptera; Coccinellidae. The record is from RNAcentral.